This 253-nucleotide ribosomal RNA is filed under the name uncultured bacterium. RNAcentral's name for it is "partial 16S ribosomal RNA". It matches the Rfam family "Bacterial small subunit ribosomal RNA", at positions 524 to 776 of the family's 1533-position model. The record is from RNAcentral.
UACGGAGGGGGCUAGCGUUGUUCGGAAUUACUGGGCGUAAAGCGCACGUAGGCGGCUUUGUAAGUUAGAGGUGAAAGCCCGGAGCUCAACUCCGGAACUGCCUUUAAGACUACAUCGCUAGAACGUUGGAGAGGUAAGUGGAAUUCCGAGUGUAGAGGUGAAAUUCGUAGAUAUUCGGAAGAACACCAGUGGCGAAGGCGACUUACUGGACAACUGUUGACGCUGAGGUGCGAAAGCGUGGGGAGCAAACAGG